GGGGAUAUGGCGAAAUUGGUAGACGCACUAGAUUUAGGUUCUAGCGUUGCAAGACGUGUCAGUUCGAGUCUGACUAUCCCCACCA
This 85-nucleotide transfer RNA is filed under the name Oxalobacteraceae bacterium. RNAcentral's name for it is "tRNA-Leu". It matches the Rfam family "tRNA". From Rfam's summary of the family: Transfer RNA (tRNA) molecules are approximately 80 nucleotides in length. The record is from RNAcentral. Lineage: Bacteria; Pseudomonadati; Pseudomonadota; Betaproteobacteria; Burkholderiales; Oxalobacteraceae.